UACGGAGGGCGCGAGCGUUAAUCGGAAUUACUGGGCGUAAAGCGCGCGUAGGCUGUUGUGUAAGUUGGGGGUGAAAUCCCACGGCUCAACCGUGGAACAGCCCUUGAUACUGCGCGACUUGAAUCCGGGAGAGGGUGGCGGAAUUCCAGGUGUAGGAGUGAAAUCCGUAGAUAUCUGGAGGAACAUCAGUGGCGAAGGCGGCCACCUGGAUCGGUAUUGACGCUGAGGCGCGAAAGCGUGGGGAGCAAACAGG
This 253-nucleotide ribosomal RNA is filed under the name uncultured bacterium. RNAcentral describes it as "partial 16S ribosomal RNA". It matches the Rfam family "Bacterial small subunit ribosomal RNA", at positions 524 to 776 of the family's 1533-position model. The record is from RNAcentral.